Molecule: long non-coding RNA, 632 nt
Filed under: Homo sapiens (human)
Lineage: Eukaryota; Metazoa; Chordata; Mammalia; Primates; Hominidae
Description: HSALNT0364890
Source: RNAcentral
CUGCCCACCAACCAUGCUCUGAUGCAUUUGUAGUCUUUCAAAUGUGCACUUCUGCCUGGCGGCCUCCUCCUGGCUUCAGCCUUGAACCUCACCUUGAUUGCCACUUCCUUUGGGGAAACUCCUCUGAUGCUUUCCCUGGUGUAGGUAGCUCCCCCGCCUGAUGCCAUCACACCGUGGAACAGCCACAUUUCACUGUUAGGUCCUGGCCUCCCACAUCAGACUCUGAGCUCUACAAGGGCAGCUUUCUGUUCUGAGAGCCCAGACUUCCAGGUACUAGUCCUGAAGAAAAUGAAUUCUUCGAAGCUCGCCUGCAGAUUUCUUUUCUUGAGCACUACCCCUUCAUCCCUGCUUCCACAUGUGAGAUCCCCAGGGCUGGGAUAAAGGUGAAGUGAGCAAGUCAUCUAGGACACAACAUUGAAGGGGACACCACUCUCACAGUUUUGCAAAUACCUUCAGCUCCUCACUUGCCUCACCCUGGUCCUGGCCUGGAUGAUCAUAGGUACCUCACCUGGGUUCAUGGUGCAAAGUGUGAACAUUCAGUAUGGUGAACUGAAGAAAAACAAAAAUCGAAUGAGAAAUCAAAAAAGCAGAAUUUUCAUUUUGACUUUAUUACUAACUCAACAUGAUAUCAA